GCCUUUUUUUUUUUUUUUUUUGCCAUUUUUCAGCCAGACAUCCUCUGAUUCAUGUGCCCAUCAUCCCAUCCGCCUGAGGGCCAUCGGGCCAGGCACAAAAGACUGUCACGUGACAGACAGUGAUGGAAGUUGAUGGAAGGUGACGUGCAGCGCACAGGAACACAAACGUCAAAGUAGACAGACGGGGCCGACAGGGAGAGGUUUUAGAUGGAGGAGGAUGGAUGAAUGGAUGGAUGGAUGGAUGAAGAAACAGAAGAGGAGAGUUCCAGUGGACUGCUGGAGAGGCUCUGUUCUGCUGUGUCCUCAGGGGUGCAGGCAUAAAAGCACUCCACAUCAACACCAUUACAAAAGAAGAGGAGAAGAAAGCGAAGAGAAAAGACUUGAAGAGAUGGAAAAUGACAUGUGGCCCUUUUAUUUCUCAGAAUGCUGUGCUACCAUCUCUUAACAAUCCUUCUUUUUUUUCUGGAUGUAAGCUGUCUCUAUUCUUUAUCUUCCUCCAUCAGUCCAUCCAGCUCUGUUUGUGUAUUCUCUUCACGCUGCUGUCUGAACGAGCCCAGGACUGCAUGAACCAAAGAGAGGACACACAACAGCAGAAAGGCAAAAACAAAGACAUGUAAGAGGUGAUCUUGAUAUCCUGACCUGCACACAUUACUGACCUAAAAUUACUCAU
Molecule: long non-coding RNA, 670 nt
Organism: Lates calcarifer (barramundi perch)
Lineage: Eukaryota; Metazoa; Chordata; Actinopteri; Centropomidae
Exons: 3
Source: RefSeq, a predicted model, not a curated record